GCCAUAUUGUUUCGAUUCAAGAAGAAAAAAAUUGCCCGCAGUUGUUUCAUUGUGCAGCUAUACUCAGUAUGGAUAAACGCCGUGCCUUACCAAGAAUCAGUGAAUGUCCUGUAAUCAGCAUCCAUGAUCAUUUAUUGACAGUAUGGUAAAUUUAGAGAGAUAUGCUGUUGAAGCAAUACAGUGGAAAUGAAGGGUGGGCCAAGAAUGGAAUGUCAUGUCCAGCUUGCCUGAAUCUAAGGGAACAUGAAAGGGAGCACAGUUGCUUUCAAUUGGAACCUGGGCUGAAAAUGGAAUUUCUUCUUGCCUGGACGUAGAUGGAGGAACGCUAAAAAGAGCACUCAAAUGACAAUAGGAAUGUUGAAUGAAUGCAAGGACCAGCCCAAAAAUCCCAGAUCCUUGGGGAUCUGCCCACGCUAAAGCAGACGUCGACAAGACAUUGCAGUGCUCACGUAAAGGGCCAAGAAGGGUGUUGCAUUGGUGUUGGUCUGGGCGUCUCCGGCCUUUACGUCCCCAAAGAUUCUACACACUCGCUUCGUAACAUUGAUUUUCUGAUAACGCGUUUUUGUACUAUUUUCUCUGGCAAACACGCCAUCGGAUGCAGAGCCGGAACCAUUCUGAGAGUGAAAAUUACGUAAAUAAGAUAGAGAUUCUCCUUCUCUAGCUAGCUUUGAAACCGAACUCAACAAGCUAAACCCUUUGGACUAUUUUACUGUUUUUUUUUUAUUGCUAUGAAUAUGUUAUGCAAAAGGUAUCCAUUUCGCAGUGUUUUCAGUUUUAUGCGUGUCAUUAGCCGUAGUAAUUCAGUCGGCUGUUAAUAUCAUUGAACGCUCGUUCAAUAGAAUUCUGGUUCCAACGCCCCUAAUUAAAAGCUUAUGCUCAUUUUCGAUCAAAACACUUUUUUGACCACACUGAAGAUGUUUGGUCGUUAGACGUCUGCCUCAAACUGAAAAACUGUCUUGUUUUUAUGAGGGCCUUGUAGUGACAAGGACGAUGUAAGUGCACGGGGUUAAAUUUUUUAAGAGACAAUUGAAACAAGAACGAUUUGGGCUCUUGAAGUAGUCAUUGUCUCACGGCACUUAAAUUAAUAAGUUAAACCUUAACGUUUCUCCGUUCUGAUGUGAAGCAAACAGGAAGUAGCGAAGGCGCGAAAAUCAAGUAGGGGUAGACCCAAGACGUUCGCCGUUGAACACUCGAUGCUUAUUUAAUCUUUUUUUUUUUUUAUCAAGAAUCUAUUUCAGUCAUUUGCUUUUUGUGCCCAAAACGCAUUCAAGCGUUUUCAUCUUGCUGUGUACUCUACUAAAACAAGCAUAUGCUAAUUUCAAGCACGCUGAUUUCAGCCAAUCAUAUACUUUGAUGGGCUGCUUCGACGUAUUUCAUUGGUUAAUUGCUGAGUUUAGUUUGUAAAGAACAAAAGCUAAAUAAAGUAAUGGAAGCAAGA
Stylophora pistillata is the source of this 1438-nucleotide long non-coding RNA. RefSeq lists it as uncharacterized. Lineage: Eukaryota; Metazoa; Cnidaria; Anthozoa; Scleractinia; Pocilloporidae. The record is from RefSeq and is a predicted model, not a curated record.